AAUAUGUUUUACACGUGACUUACUAUUGGUAAACACCGCAACCGCGCUUCCAAGUUACAUUAGAAUGUGUUGCAUUUCCCCAAAACCGUGGGUAAUUCUAAGUCCCAAAUUUAAUAAUAAUCGAUAAAGAUAUGCAUCAUUAGUGAAAGUUUUUCCACUAAUAAAAACUUAGAUGCUAGAUUAGUUACUCAACGCAAUCAUAUUUCAGUAGGCUACGUGUCUAUGACAGCCUAAAUAGUUCACUGGAUAGCAGUGCAAAAUAAUAAAUCCGACGGCAGAAUACAUUUAAUCACUAGACGCUUACCUAGAUUUGUCUGACUGAAUGUAUGAAGAAGUGUUAAGCACAAGCAACCACUCGCUGGGAAAACAUAGCCAAUUUAGCAAAUUCAUUAGAAAGGGUUGUGUUAUUACUGGCCAUGAACACCUUAGAGAAUAAGAAGUGCAUCAUAAUUUUAAACCGACGAGGAAGUUGCUGUUCAUUCUAAGUGUCUAAAAAAUAACUUGAUUGAAAAAAACUUGAUUAAUACUAUAUAACACGUAUAAUGGUCUGGUUAAAGAUUUCGUAAUCGAUUACAUCAACACCAGUACUAAAUUCACAAAGCUACUGGGAAUUAAGGUUUCUAUGAUUAGAAAAAAAACAAGACCACGUAACAGUUGAUAAGUAGUAGUGGUGACGAAGUAUCUAGCGGUCUUGUGGACAGUUUCAAUUCCUGAUGUUUUGCAUAGCAACAGCCCCCAUCCAACCUCCUCCUCCACAGGCCUUCUAGGGAUCGUCUACAUUUGUGGCUCCGAAAAGAAAAACGAACGUGUUCAUAGAGCAUGUAAAAGUACGCUAAAUUGCGAGCCAUAUUUAUGAAACCGCUCAAUGAAGUUUGCUUUGACGGCUGAUUCCAGAAACACAUUAUAUUGGGUGUUAAAAAAAACAUUAUAUUGGGUGUCUAAUAUGAUGAGAAAAAACCCUGAACUAGUUAAUUUUUUUUUCUCACAAAACGGUGAAGUCUGCACAGCAACAAGCGCCAUGAUUGCGUUGCACUAUGCGUCUCAGGCGCUGAAAGAUGGAGCGCCGUGAGGAUGCCACCGGCAGGUCGCCAGUUUACGCAGGCUUUGCAGGAAAUUAUUAGAGUGCGUUUUGGAAACCAGCAGAAAGACCUGCUUGAGUUCACUGUUUAAAACGUCCCACGAUGCUGUUAAAUGUUUGCAGAUAGACUACUCGAUGUGCAGAGAUGCGGUACUUUUCAAAUAAAGUCUCACCGAGAUGUUCCCAUCGGCAGAUCACGCAACCAUCGGUAUUUUUAUAUAUUUUUAAGUCAGAAACUCAUCCUUAUAAGAUGGAGAAGGACAAGUUUUGCGUUUCCUAAGACUAGCAGCAAGGGGAGAAAAGCGCUUAUGAAGAGCUCUUAGGGUUUGGGAACUGACGCGGCGCUGUGCAUGUCCCGAUUGGAGUCACUGGAAUCCAACAAGAAGAAAGCUUUACAGAGACGCCAAAAAGGUAAAAAAAGGAGAGUAUUCAGAUAAUCUCUGGCUGGUUAGCACAUCAGGAAAAAAUAAGAUUUUCUUCGAUUUUGAGACUGGGUGAUGCCUGUGAUGCGCAGAUGAAGCAGCAGUAUCCGAAUGUUUCUCCACCAGAUACAGGGGGAAAAGUUGGGGGUGAAAGAAACAUCGCCGCAGUCUCGUAGGUCCCACGAUGAGCAAAACCUGACGUCAACAAUUGGGACACAGUGAGAUUCAAAUGUAGACAAGAUAUGUAUGACUCGACUUGUCCGCGGGGCUGUGUGGACUCACUGUUUUCAUUCGCCUCCUUUUGUUAUUAAUGUGUUUCUUGGAGUCGCCAAUCCUGUGUUUAUUUUAGUAUUGCUUUUGCACAUCUCUCUACACCCGGCCACCCCUACAUAUAUGCACGCGUGGAGGUCCUGCACGCUGCUGGAGCGAAGUGACCAGCCUUUUUUUUUGCUUUCGAUGUUUCUUUUAAUAGUAUUGUGGUACGUUUGACUCCAGUCUGCUUAGCACAGCAGCAGAUUUUAUUUGUUCUUAAAAGCUUCUGGCUUGUGAAUGACGUCAGAAAUAAAUAAUUAUGAUGUCCCAUUUAGUUUUUUUUUACCACACUAUAUUUGCUUCUCAUAGAUUAAUGUAAUAAAGCAAUCGUUUAGGGUUAUAUGAAUUAAAUGUCAUGUUAGACGAAAUAAAACGACAACCCUUUGAUGUGCAAUUGACAGGCAAUUAAGUGAAGUAAAAUUAAAACUUUAAUGACAAUACUAUAUCUCAACAUAUCACUAAACAUAACUUCUCGGCAGUGUCAAAUACAUUUUGGUACCAGAUAUCAAACGGCAAUUACAAUAAGUAAACAUGUUUACAUAUAGUCAGUGAAUAGUUUGUUGUGGCUGAAAAGCUGUGUAAUAACAUUAACAUUAUACUGUUUAAUAAAACUAAUGAAUUAGCCGUUUCUGAAGUGGCGGGGCCCGUUUGGAAUUCGGUUUUUGUCACGCACAUCCCACCUUCCCUUCCCAACGUCAGCAGUGACGUUAAUUAAUAGGCUCGAUAUUUUGAGCUCGCCUACUACAACCCAUCACGUAGUCUUAAUGAAUAUGUAAACUCAUUCAAGGGGUUUAUUCAUUUAAUUAUUUUGGUAGUCAUCAGCAGUAACGUUUUUUGAGUCAACAAAGGCUGGUGAUUCAGCUUUCACAAUAACAGUUCAAGGAGAUGUAUUGCAUAACUGAGCUGGGUCCUGGAUAACGAGUCGCGCAGAAAUUGCAAACUGUGCUAUACUGCAUGUUUGCUUAAUAUAAUAAUGCUUAUAAUUAAAAUUAAGAAUAAUGCAGUCUUUGAAAUUUGUGAAAUACAACUUUAGUACAAACGUUAUUUGAAUGAAACUUUGUAUUUUCCCCAGUUUGUACCAAUAUGCGCAUCUUGGUAAUAAUCCUCAUUUUUAAGUGUAAACCUGACGUAGGCCUACGUGUUAUAUUUUGCGCAAAUUAGGUUUACCGUAACAAAAUUAUCACGGGGGGGGGGAGAUGGAAAUAAUGAAAACAAAAAAUUACCCAGUGGUAAAAGUUAAGACACCGAUACGGACAGUGGCUUAGUCUCAGCUAAAAUGUUUCAAACACAAGAAAUCCUUAAAUAAAACUCCAGUUUCACUCCAGGUACCAUGUCCAACAAGAGAGCAGUAACUACAUGUUAAUAACCAACACAGCCAUAUCAGUGAAAGUAUAUAUAGCCUACUGUUGCCAGGCAAAUCACUGAUGAAGUAGUAACAAAUAGAUUUUCUCGCAAUUCAGUGUCAAAACAAAAUACCGCAUUGCUAUCAUGCAAAUACAGGUACACGCUUAUAGUUACAUUACGCACGGCAGUAUAAAUUAGUACGAACUGGUCACCAAUUAACAUAAAAGCAUAUUACUCUUCAUAAGGAUUUGCGUACUAUGCUGUCGGCCGUAUCGUGCUCUCUACAUUUAAAAAUAAACUUUGACUAAGUUUAUCAUUUAAAAUGUAAAAGCCUCUCUAUAAGGAAGCCUGAUGGUUAGGCGUGCAAAUUAAAAUUAUUUAACUUUUUUCUUUAAUCCGCCACGAAACGCGUGCAUUACAUGUUGUAUAUGACUUUCAGUUAAAAUGAAUAUCGUACGCUUUUCAAGCAUUAAGACCGGUAAAUGAUUUUUUAAUUCAACGAGGGUAUUUGUUUUGCUAAUGUUUCCCUGUCAGCGUUGCCCCAGAAUACCCGCAUAAAGUUAACCAUUAAAUAUCA
Long non-coding RNA from Paramormyrops kingsleyae, 3733 nucleotides. RefSeq lists it as uncharacterized. Lineage: Eukaryota; Metazoa; Chordata; Actinopteri; Osteoglossiformes; Mormyridae. The record is from RefSeq and is a predicted model, not a curated record.